Molecule: ribosomal RNA, 501 nt
Filed under: uncultured bacterium
Lineage: Bacteria
Description: partial 16S ribosomal RNA
Rfam family: Bacterial small subunit ribosomal RNA
Source: RNAcentral
AUUGAACGCUGGCGGCAUGCCUUACACAUGCAAGUCGAACGGCAGCACGGGUGCUUGCACCUGGUGGCGAGUGGCGAACGGGUGAGUAAUAUAUCGGAACGUACCUUAUUGUGGGGGAUAACGCAGCGAAAGCUGUGCUAAUACCGCAUAAUCCCUAAGGGGGAAAGCGGGGGACCGUAAGGCCUCGCGCAAUUAGAGCGGCCGAUACCUGAUUAGCUAGUUGGUGAGGUAAAGGCUCACCAAGGCAACGAUCAGUAGCUGGUCUGAGAGGACGAUCAGCCACACUGGGACUGAGACACGGCCCAGACUCCUACGGGAUGCAGCAGUGGGGAAUUUUGGACAAUGGGGGCAACCCUGAUCCAGCAAUGCCGCGUGAGUGAAGAAGGCCUUCGGGUUGUAAAGCUCUUUUGUCAGGGAAGAAACAGCAGCUCUAACACAGUUUGCGAAUGACGGUACCUGAAGAAUAAGCACCGGCUAACUAUGUGCCAGCAGCCGCAGUAA